CUGAAUUAGGAAUCCCAGGAGCUGAGUUGUAGCCCCUGCUCCUUCAUUCAUUCGUUUCCCUGCCUUGGGAUCUAGAAAGAAUAUACAUUUUGAAGUUAGAACAAACUGGUUUCGAACCAUUGCUCCAUGUUACCAGCUACGUGACUCGGGGCUCCGGAUUUUGCUCUUCCCACCCCACCUUCCCUUUUGCCUGAGAGAAUGCCGCUGCUGGUGGCCACACUUUGG
This is a long non-coding RNA of Ailuropoda melanoleuca (giant panda), 225 nucleotides long. RefSeq lists it as uncharacterized. The transcript has 3 exons. The record is from RefSeq and is a predicted model, not a curated record. NCBI's taxonomy places the organism in Eukaryota, Metazoa, Chordata, Mammalia, Carnivora, Ursidae.